UCACUGCCAGACAGAAACUACGAUACAAAGUCACAUCGAAACCUGCUCUAAGCAUGCACAGUGGCCCCAAUUUACAGAAUGACAAUCUUACUGAACCUGAAAGAACUUUUGGGUGCACUUUGCUCCUAAGUGCACAGACCCUACAAGUGCUCAGAGACAGGCAGAGCCCACGGAUGCUGGUCAGAGAAGAAGGUCACCAGGGAGACGCAAAUCAACAGGCCUAGCAGUAUACUCUGGACUUAAGAGACAUACACAGGAGAAAAAUGCAGGUGAAGAUGAAGGCAGAGACCUCCAAGGCAAGGAAUGCCAAAGCUUGCCAGCAAACCACCAGAAACGAGGGGAGAGUCAUGGAACAGAUCCUACCUCACAGCUCUCAGAAGGAACCAACUCUGGCACACGUUGACCUUGGACUUCUAGCCUCCAGAAAAUUACCUGACGUUCAACCUCUGCUUGGUUUGGAGCCUUUCCACUGACUGUGUACCUGGCAUUUCAGCCUAUUCAUCCCCACAAUGUGCCAAUGUCACUGAACUCCCUUGGAGGGCCUGAGAAGAAAACUGCCCUAGUUUGGACUGGAUGAUUCACAUAUAUUUGAGGUUAUCAACAAUAAACCCUAGUUCUUAAAGGAGGAGACAGCCAGAAGAUUAAUACAAAGGUUCCAAAGGGGUCAUGGAGGACCAGCGCUCGCCAGAUACUGCAAGGUAGACCUGAGACCCAAGGCAGUUGCCUGAAGUCACACAGCCGGUAAACUGGGGAGCUGGGAUUGGAACCCAGGUAGUUGGGGGAUGUACAGUGCGC
Long non-coding RNA from Symphalangus syndactylus (siamang), 795 nucleotides. RefSeq lists it as uncharacterized. The record is from RefSeq and is a predicted model, not a curated record. Lineage: Eukaryota; Metazoa; Chordata; Mammalia; Primates; Hylobatidae.